RNAcentral lists this ribosomal RNA (834 nucleotides) under Triticum aestivum (bread wheat). RNAcentral describes it as "partial small subunit ribosomal RNA". Lineage: Eukaryota; Viridiplantae; Streptophyta; Magnoliopsida; Poales; Poaceae. The record is from RNAcentral.
AUGAGUACAAGUGCGCAAUGUCCUAUUUGCAGUUCAGAUUGUGAGAGUAUUAGGCGUGCCAUGUUCUUAUGUCCUAGAGUAUGGGAAAUAUGGAGAAUCUUGGGGCUGCAUGAUUUAGUACAGGAGGGUUGUACGCUUGAGAGAGAGGGUGGAUCGGUUCUUGCUUACUUGCUCCAAUCAAAGAAUUCUACCAACGCACUUGUGGCCGAUGUGCACCGCAAUGAUCUCGUGGCCACUGUAGUUUGGUAUGUUUGGUGGGAACGGCGUCAGUACACCCAUGGCGAACGUAUCUUCGAACCGAGCAGGUCAGCACAAGCAAUUAUAACUCUUGCUAAGAAUUUUUCUAAGGCCAAGUCGAAGAAGGUAAAACUUAAAAGGCACGGCUGGUGCUGUUCGCCAGAGGGAAUUCUUAAACUCAAUGUUGAUGCCACUUUUAAUCAUGACAGUGGAACAGCGUCAUGCAGUGAUAUUUCAUUUGUAGAAGAUGCGACAACGGCAGAAGCUAGAGGUUUACGAGACGGGCUCCUACUCGCAAAUGAAGUUGGGUGUAACAGAAUUUGCAUCGAGGCUGACUGCUUGGAGGUCGUCGAAAUCAUGCAAGGUGGUGGAAAUUCACUUGGACCGGCUGCAACAAUUUAUGAGGAGUGUUCUUUUCCGGCUCGCAAUUUUAUUUCGAUAGUUUUUUCUCACUGUCCUAGGGAAGCUAAUGAGGUGGCUGAUUUGUUGGCUAGGAACUCGGAGGUUUCUCGAACCAUUGUUUGGAAAUCGGAGCCCCCGGGUUUUCUACUGGAUGUAUGAACAAACGAUGUAUCGCUGUUUUCGCAUGAAAUAUAA